CACCUACAAAUUGAGUGUGAGGUAUCUCUAUUCAUAAACCUAUACUUUAAACAUCCUCUGGCCCUCGACCAUAGAGAAAUAUCCUCAGAAUCCUAUGUCCCAUCUACCUAUGGCACUCUUCUCUCUUGGCCAAAGCCUCUAAGCUUGAAUGUGCAGGGCAUGAGGGCAUCAGCAGAAAGGGUGGGUAGGGGCUGAAAUUCACCCUGUGCUCUGCUCACCAAUGUCCUCACAUGGGGCUGGCUCUCAUUCUACUCCCCCAAGCCUGUUGUGCUCAAUUCCCACCUUAAAUCUUAGAAGCAAUGCCACUUUCCUCAUUUUCUCACAAGGAACAGUCAAACAUGCUUUUUGUUUUGCUUUGGUUUGCCUGUUGCCUUUGUGUUAAUACCUACAUUCCCAAAAUAUUCAGCCCGACCACUUAGCCAAGUACCUUCUAAAGCAAAGGGCAUUGAGAAUAAGGAGUGAUAAGGAACACAGGUUUCCAAGACUUAAAGUAAACUGUGGAAAACAUCAACAUAAACCUUUUGCCUAGCUGCUCUUUUUAAUGAUGAUCUUACAGCAUUUAGCAGUGAGGCAGGGCCUAAUUCUGCCUACCUCAACCAACUUUACAUUUCUUAAUUCCUAGCAAUACAUGAUUUAAGAUUCUUAGAUACUAAAAUGAAUGUUCUAUCAAAAGCAACAUCCGUUCUGCAGGAAUAUUUUUCAUGUCUGAUCUGUAGAAUGUCUUCUAGUUUCAGCAGAAGUCCUUUAGUUGUGUCAUUAAUUCCAUAUCUUGCUAUCAAACACUAUCCUUUCUCUAUAGCUAUAACCCACCUUCUAUUUUCUCCAGAGUUGCCCUUUAAAACUUUCUUAGAAACUCAGACUUUAUCUUCAUUUUACAGUGAUUGCUAUCUUGUUUCAAAAAAAAAAAAAAAAAAAAGUCAGGAGGAAAAGCAAAUGACCAUGCUGAUGGAAUCUCACACAAAGAGAUUAAUUGCCACUGCUCUCGAAGGCUGGGGCGGAAUGAUGAGCAAUCCACAGAAUGCAAAGGAAAGCAGAGCGAGCGGUGUUUGCAGUGUGCACAUCCUGGGCAUUUGUAAAUAUCCUCAUGCUGGGGUGGUAAAUUGGGAACAGCCAUCUGGAGUUCAUGGCAACACCGGAUCCUUAACCCACCGAGUGAGGCCAGGGAUUGAACCCAAAACCUCAUGGUUCCUAGUUGGAUUCAUUUCCACUGCGCCACGAUGGGAACUCCCUCUUCUUCUUUUUUUUAAAUGGCUGCACUGGCAGUGUAUGGAAAUUCCUGGGCCAGGAAUUGAACCUGCGCCUCCACAAUAACCUGAGCCACUGCAGUCAGAUUCUUAACCCACUGCACCACAGCGGGAACCCCUCUUUUGGUUUUUAGCAGCAGCAAGCCAUGAAACAAUAAAUUCAACAAUAUCUUAAAAUUUGCACAAUACCAGAGAACAAAAUCCGCAGUGUGCUGUGAAUCAGUACCUGUUAAGUGGUGUAAUUUUAUGUAGCUAGCACAAGUACCCAGGUAGAAAUAUUGUCAUGUCUUAAAGUAUGAAUUCAGAGAAUGUAACAGCUGAAAUACAUUCCAGUUUCUUUAAUUUAAUAUUGGUAUUCCACUAUUUUAAAAAAUUUGGUUGUUAGGUCAAAAUGGAAUCCAUCAAGCCUUGAAGGGGCUGAUUCCUCAAGAAACCAGCUGAUUAUGGGAUGGAAUGAUGGUAAGUGGGGUCCAGUGUCUGGAAUUGGCGUGAAACUCUUCCUGUUCAGUAUCUGGUUCAUGCUCAUAUAAUCCAGAAUUUAUAACCACCCACCAGUACAGGAGCAGCCACAAACAGGAGCCUGGGGCCCCUAGCAGCCUCCCCCACUUUCUUCUCCAUCAUGGCGUGAGGAUGCAAGCCUCCCUCUGCACCAGCGAGAGAGGAUGAUGGCAACGAAAGUGCCUCUCUGUUUGCCCAGAUGAGUGAUGAGCACAGAGCACGAUGGCCAGUUGUCAAGCAGAGGGGCAUGGUGUCUGCACCCAGUGUUGCAGCCCGAUCUGAGAACUCUGAGCUCCCAGGACCAGGUGGAAGCAGAGCAGCACAAAGGUGAUGCUCAGAGAUGCCCUCCAGCUUCUACCCACAGACACAGCUGCCAUUAACCUGCAGCCGUGGCAGACAGCACUGAGCCCAGCCUCACAUUUAUUCCGUGGAACACUGUAAUACCUCUCUCUUCAAAAAUUAUUAUCAUGGGCAUUCCUAUUGUGGCUCAGGGGGCUAGGAACCCAACGUGGUCUCCAUGAGGAUGCGGGUUCUAUCCCUGGCCUCACUCAGUGGAAUAAAAAUGCAAAAAAAAAAUAUAUAUAUAUAUAUAUAUACAUAUAUAUUAUUUUGGAGUUCUUUUGUGGCUCAGCAGCUUAAGGAUCCAGCAUUGUCACUGCUGUGGCUCUGUUUAUAGCUGUAGCCUGGGUUCGAUACCCGCGCCAGGAACUUCUGCAUGCAGUAAGUGUGGCCAAAAAAAAAAAAAAAAAAAAAAAAAAGAGAAUCAUUAUCUUUAAAAUCUACUUUAAUUAGAGAAGGCACUAUACCUUCCUCUUUGAUGCUAUUUCAAAAUAAAUAAAAUAUUGACCGCACUAGCUUUCACAGAUGCUUCAAAAAUGGACUGUCGAGGGGUGCUAUCUCUUUUGUGUGCUUUACAAUUAUUGUUCCCCAGCU
This 2675-nucleotide long non-coding RNA is filed under the name Sus scrofa (pig). RNAcentral's name for it is "lncRNA (ENSSSCG00055001095.1)". The record is from RNAcentral. Lineage: Eukaryota; Metazoa; Chordata; Mammalia; Artiodactyla; Suidae.